RNAcentral lists this ribosomal RNA (295 nucleotides) under uncultured bacterium. RNAcentral's name for it is "partial 16S ribosomal RNA". It matches the Rfam family "Bacterial small subunit ribosomal RNA", at positions 30 to 309 of the family's 1533-position model. The record is from RNAcentral.
GUGAACGCUGGCGGCAGGCCUAACACAUGCAAGUCGAGCGGCAGCGGGUUCCCGCGAGGGGAUGCCGGCGAGCGGCGGACGGGUGAGGAACACAUCGGAAUCUGCCUGGUUGUGGGGGAUAACGUAGGGAAACUUACGCUAAUACCGCAUGCGACCCUGAGUCGACGGACUGGGGGUGAAAGUGAGGGACCUUCGGGCCUCACGCGACCAGAUGAGCCGAUGUCGGAUAGCUAGUUGGCGGGGUAACGGCCCGCCAAGGCGACGAUCCGUAGCUGGUCUGAGAGGAUGAUCAGCC